RNAcentral lists this ribosomal RNA (254 nucleotides) under uncultured bacterium. RNAcentral's name for it is "partial 16S ribosomal RNA". It matches the Rfam family "Bacterial small subunit ribosomal RNA", at positions 524 to 776 of the family's 1533-position model. The record is from RNAcentral.
UACGUAGGGUGCAAGCGUUAAUCGGAAUUACUGGGCGUAAAGCGUGCGCAGGCGGUGAUGUAAGACAGGUGUGAAAUCCCCGGGCUUAACCUGGGAACUGCAUUUGUGACUGCAUCGCUGGAGUGCGGCAGAGGGGGAUGGAAUUCCGCGUGUAGCAGUGAAAUGCGUAGAGAUGUGGAGGAAUACCGAUGGCGAAGGCAGCCCCCCUGGGAUAACACUGACGCUCAUGCACGAAAGCGUGGGGAGCAAACAGG